AGAGUUUGAUCCUGGCUCAGGACGAACGCUGGCGGCGUGCCUAAUACAUGCAAGUAGAACGCUGAAGGAGGAGCUUGCUUCUCUGGAUGAGUUGCGAACGGGUGAGUAACGCGUAGGUAACCUGCCUGGUAGCGGGGGAUAACUAUUGGAAACGAUAGCUAAUACCGCAUAAUAGUAGAUGUUGCAUGACAUUUGCUUAAAAGGUGCAAUUGCAUCACUACCAGAUGGACCUGCGUUGUAUUAGCUAGUUGGUGGGGUGACGGCUCACCAAGGCGACGAUACAUAGCCGACCUGAGAGGGUGAUCGGCCACACUGGGACUGAGACACGGCCCAGACUCCUACGGGAGGCAGCAGUAGGGAAUCUUCGGCAAUGGACGGAAGUCUGACCGAGCAACGCCGCGUGAGUGAAGAAGGUUUUCGGAUCGUAAAGCUCUGUUGUAAGAGAAGAACGAGUGUGAGAGUGGAAAGUUCACACUGUGACGGUAUCUUACCAGAAAGGGACGGCUAACUACGUGCCAGCAGCCGCGGUAAUACGUAGGUCCCGAGCGUUGUCCGGAUUUAUUGGGCGUAAAGCGAGCGCAGGCGGUUAGAUAAGUCUGAAGUUAAAGGCUGUGGCUUAACCAUAGUACGCUUUGGAAACUGUUUAACUUGAGUGCAAGAGGGGAGAGUGGAAUUCCAUGUGUAGCGGUGAAAUGCGUAGAUAUAUGGAGGAACACCGGUGGCGAAAGCGGCUCUCUGGCUUGUAACUGACGCUGAGGCUCGAAAGCGUGGGGAGCAAACAGGAUUACAUACCCUGGUAGUC
RNAcentral lists this ribosomal RNA (802 nucleotides) under uncultured bacterium. RNAcentral describes it as "bacterial SSU rRNA". It matches the Rfam family "Bacterial small subunit ribosomal RNA", at positions 8 to 795 of the family's 1533-position model. The record is from RNAcentral.